UCCGAGUUGUCUCCGGCAGAUUCCGAGGAUGUCAAGGGUAGGUAAGGUUCUUCGCGUUGCAUCGAAUUAAACCACAUGCUCCACCGCUUGUGCGGGCCCCCGUCAAUUCAUUUGAGUUUUAACCUUGCGGCCGUACUCCCCAGGCGGUCGACUUAUCGCGUUAACUGCGCCACAAAGUCCUCUAGGGACCCAACGGCUAGUCGACAUCGUUUACGGCGUGGACUAC
Molecule: unclassified non-coding RNA, 226 nt
Filed under: uncultured Halomonadaceae bacterium
Lineage: Bacteria; Pseudomonadati; Pseudomonadota; Gammaproteobacteria; Oceanospirillales; Halomonadaceae
Description: contains 16S-23S intergenic spacer region
Source: RNAcentral